UGACCUGGGCCAGUUCAGCCAUCCUUAGGCAA
This 32-nucleotide non-coding RNA is filed under the name Macaca fascicularis (crab-eating macaque). The record is from RNAcentral. RNAcentral also lists the same sequence under 1 other name. Lineage: Eukaryota; Metazoa; Chordata; Mammalia; Primates; Cercopithecidae.